Molecule: ribosomal RNA, 595 nt
Filed under: uncultured Megasphaera sp.
Lineage: Bacteria; Bacillati; Bacillota; Negativicutes; Veillonellales; Veillonellaceae
Description: partial 16S ribosomal RNA
Rfam family: Bacterial small subunit ribosomal RNA
Source: RNAcentral
ACUCMUACGGGAGGCAGCAGUGGGGAAUCUUCCGCAAUGGACGAAASUCUGASGGAGCAACGCCGCGUGAACGAUGACGGCCUUCGGGUUGUAAAGUUCUGUUAUACGGGGCGAAUGGCGUASCGGUCAAUACCCGUUACGAGUGACGGUACCGUAAGAGAAAGCCACGGCUAACUACGUGCCAGCAGCCGCGGUAWUACGUAGGUGSCAAGCGUUKUCCGGAAUUAUUGGGSGUAAAGGGCGCGCAGGCGGCGUYGUAAGUCGGUCUUAAAAGUGCGGGGCUUAACCCCGUGAGGGGACCGAAACUGCGAUGCUAGAGUAUCGGAGAGGAAAGCGGAAUUCCUAGUGUAGCGGUGAAAUGCGUAGAUAUUAGGAGGAACACCAGUGGCGAAAGCGGCUUUCUGGACGACAACUGACGCUGRGGCGCGAAASCCAGGGGAGCAAACGGGAUUAGAUACCCCGGUAGUCCUGGCCGUAAACGAUGGAUACUGGGUGUAGGAGGUAUCGACCCCUUCUGUGCCGGAGUUAACGCAAUAAGUAUCCCGCCUGGGGKGUACGGCCGCAAGGCUGAAACUCAAAUGAAUUGACGGARGAC